GACGAACGCUGGCGGCGUGCCUAAUACUUGCCAGUCGAACGCUUCUUUCCUCCCGAGUGCUUGCACUCAAUUGGAAAGAGGAGUGGCGGACGGGUGAGUAACACGUGGGUAACCUACCCAUCAGAGGGGGAUAACACUUGGAAACAGGUGCUAAUACCGCAUAACAGUUUAUGCCGCAUGGCAUAAGAGUGAAAGGCGCUUUCGGGUGUCGUUGAUGGAUGGACCCGCGGUGCAUUAGCUAGUUGGUGAGGUAACGGCUCACCAAGGCCACGAUGCAUAGCCGACCUGAGAGGGUGAUCGGCCACACUGGGACUGAGACACGGCCCAGACUCCUACGGGAGGCAGCAGUAGGGAAUCUUCGGCAAUGGACGAAAGUCUGACCGAGCAACGCCGCGUGAGUGAAGAAGGUUUUCGGAUCGUAAAACUCUGUUGUUAGAGAAGAACAAGGACGUUAGUAACUGAACGUCCCCUGACGGUAUCUAACCAGAAAGCCACGGCUAACUACGUG
This 508-nucleotide ribosomal RNA is filed under the name uncultured bacterium. RNAcentral describes it as "partial 16S ribosomal RNA". It matches the Rfam family "Bacterial small subunit ribosomal RNA", at positions 28 to 507 of the family's 1533-position model. The record is from RNAcentral.